CUACGGGAUGCUCCAGUGGGGAAUAUUGCACAAUGGGCGCAAGCCUGAUGCAGCCAUGCCGCGUGUAUGAAGAAGGCCUUCGGGUUGUAAAGUACUUUCAGCGGGGAGGAAGGGAGUAAAGUUAAUACCUUUGCUCAUUGACGUUACCCGCAGAAGAAGCACCGGCUAACUCCGUGCCAGCAGCCGCGGUAAUACGGAGGGUGCAAGCGUUAAUCGGAAUUACUGGGCGUAAAGCGCACGCAGGCGGUUUGUUAAGUCAGAUGUGAAAUCACCGGGCUCAACCUGGGAACUGCAUCUGAGACUGGCAAGCUUGAGUCUCGUAGAGGGGGGUAGAAUUCCAGGUGUAGCGGUGAAAUGCGUAGAGAUCUGGAGGAAUACCGGUGGCGAAGGCGGCCCCCUGGACGAAGACUGACGCUCAGGUGCGAAAGCGUGGGGAGCAAACAGGAUUAGAUACCCUCGUAGUC
RNAcentral lists this ribosomal RNA (464 nucleotides) under uncultured bacterium. RNAcentral's name for it is "partial 16S ribosomal RNA". It matches the Rfam family "Bacterial small subunit ribosomal RNA", at positions 339 to 795 of the family's 1533-position model. The record is from RNAcentral.